CACACAAGUUAAAUAUUUCCCAGCAUCCCUUGGGAAUGCCUUGUCUGUGUUGCCGCUAGAUGGUUUGGGACAUUUAGUGAGAAAAACAAGUUGAAUUCAAGCAAGCUGAAACCACAGCCACCCUUGUGAUAAUCAAGAUGGAUGCUAACUAAUGGAUCAGGAAACCCAUGGUCUUUGUCAACUCCAUGGCCUUAAGAAUAAACCUUGUUUGUGGCUGGGGAAAUGGCUCAGUGGGCCCUUGCUGUCCAGAAGGUGUGAAGGAGGAGACUGCUGACCACUGGAAGACAGCAAGCAGGAAACGAGGGUAGGGCUGCAGACCACCUUCUGCAACCAGCCAGGGAAAGACAUAUGCACCAGAUAAA
Molecule: long non-coding RNA, 362 nt
Organism: Rattus rattus (black rat)
Lineage: Eukaryota; Metazoa; Chordata; Mammalia; Rodentia; Muridae
Exons: 3
Source: RefSeq, a predicted model, not a curated record